UGGCAUUGUGUGCCAUCUGAGCUGCCAUAAAUUCCAUCAAUUUUGCAACAUAUGCAGGAGGCUCAGCUGCUGAUUCAGAGGCUUGUGGAGGAGUUGGCUCAACAUUUGGCAUUGGCCUAAUCCAAAUGCCAUUUACUUUCUUCAAUUUCAUCUGAUUCACAAUUGCUUCGCCGAAGAUGAGGGUUGUCUUUGCAGAUUCUUCAUUC
This 206-nucleotide long non-coding RNA is filed under the name Cicer arietinum (chickpea). RNAcentral's name for it is "long non-coding RNA (CARI_LNC003262)". The record is from RNAcentral. Lineage: Eukaryota; Viridiplantae; Streptophyta; Magnoliopsida; Fabales; Fabaceae.